GUAGUUCUAUCUCCCUGGGCAACAGUGGAAUAGAUCGAAGAUUAUAGAUCUAUCUCCCUAAGCAAUAGUGGAGCAGGUUGAAGACGGCGGAUUUUACCUCCCUGAUUACAGUGGAGUACAUUGAAGCUGGUAGUUCUAUCUCCCUGGGCAACAGUGGAAUAGAUCGAAGAUUACAGAUCUUAUCUCCCUAAGCAAUAGUGGAGCAGGUCGAAGACGGCGGAUUUUACCUCCCUAAUUACAGUGGAGUACAUUGAAGCUGGUAGUUCUAUCUCCCUGGAUAACAGUGGAAUAGAUCGAAGAAAACAACAUUCAGUCUUAUCUCCCUAAGCAGUAGUGGAGCAGACGAAGAAAACAACAAAUCUCAUUCCCAUGGAGUUGCAGCAGAAUAGAUUUAAGUCAUGUUUCUCUGGAGCGCAGUGAAGUGGAUUGAAGCAACGAGACACAGCAGAACAGAAUAAGGCUACUUGAAGAAUAUGAGCACCAAAAAGUCAAGACUCGGCAAGACCGGGCAAAAUUGGCCCUUUUGAUGUCUUUGCUCUAUUCUCGUUACACGAAAAUGAGCAAAGAGGGGCAGCUGUAAAAGCCCAUUUUUGCCCGGGCCCAUACCAACAAAAUAACCCAAAUAAUAAACCCAAAAGUAACAGCCCAUUUACAAACCCAAACUUUGACCCAAAAUUUAAACCCAAACAAAUUAAAACCCUAAAAGCCCAAUCAGCCCACAACCUUAACUAAUUUUCAGCAAACAAAAAAACUAGCCGCUCCUCCCUCUGUCCCCAAGAUUCAGUCGCCCCAUGCUACCUCUGCCCUUAGCCAUCACGUGCACCACCCACACCUGACACACCUGCAACAGAGACAAAAACAACAGCAAAAGGAAGCAUGCGAGGGAUGGGGGAAAGAAUAAACAAAAGAACGAAAACAAAAAAUAGGAAAUGAAUGUUUUAUAGAUCGGCUUUAAAAAGCCAAAAUCGAUCACAAAAAGGGGGGAUUUUUAUGUUUUUUUUUGAGAUUUCAAAGGGAAGAAUCGGUUGUAUUUUGGGGGGGGUUUCUUUUUUUUUCGGCAUUUUAAUACAAAAAGCAGAGAAAAAUACAAAAAAAAAGGAAACAAGGAACGAAAACAUAAAUCGGAAGGUGAUUUUGUUUUUCUCUAUUAUCUUCUUAAAUCCAUUUUUUUCCUUUUUCUUCCUCAUUUCUAGCAUAUAUAUACACAUAUAAUCGAAAAAUAA
This 1223-nucleotide long non-coding RNA is filed under the name Gossypium barbadense (sea-island cotton). RNAcentral's name for it is "long non-coding RNA (GBAR_LNC007453)". The record is from RNAcentral. Lineage: Eukaryota; Viridiplantae; Streptophyta; Magnoliopsida; Malvales; Malvaceae.